GAUGAAGAACGUAGCGAAAUGCGAUAAGUAAUGUGAAUUGCAGAAUUCAGUGAAUCAUCGAAUCUUUGAACGCACAUUGCGCCCCCUGGUAUUCCGGGGGGCAUACCUGUUCGAGCGUCAUUUCACCACUCAAGCCUCGCUUGGUAUUGGGCAACGCGGUCCGCCGCGUGCCUCAAAUCGACCGGCUGGGUCUUCUGUCCCCUAAGCGUUGUGGAAACUAUUCGCUAAAGGGUGUUCGGGAGGCUACGCCGUAAAACAACCCCAUUUCUAAGGUUGACCUCGGAUCAGGUAGGGAUACCCGCUGAACUUAAGCAUAUCAAUAAGCGGAGGA
RNAcentral lists this unclassified non-coding RNA (331 nucleotides) under soil metagenome. RNAcentral's name for it is "partial contains 5.8S ribosomal RNA, internal transcribed spacer 2, and large subunit ribosomal RNA". The stretch from base 1 to 120 matches the Rfam family "5.8S ribosomal RNA", at positions 35 to 154 of the family's 154-position model. The record is from RNAcentral.